GAUGAAGAACGUAUUGAAAUGCGAUAAGUAAUGUGAAUUGCAGAAUUCAGUGAAUCAUCGAAUCUUUGAACGCACAUUGCGCCCCCUGGUAUUCCGGGGGGCAUGCCUGUUCGAGCGUCAUUUCACCACUCAAGCCUCGCUUGGUAUUGGGCAACGCGGUCCGCCGCGUGCCUCAAAUCGACCGGCUGGGUCUUCUGUCCCCUAAGCGUUGUGGAAACUUUCGCUAAAGGGUGUUCGGGAGGCUACGCCGUAAAACAACCCCAUUUCUAAGGUUGACCUCGGAUCAGGUAGGGAUACCCGCUGAACUUAAGCAUAUCAAUAAGCGGAGGA
This 330-nucleotide unclassified non-coding RNA is filed under the name soil metagenome. RNAcentral describes it as "partial contains 5.8S ribosomal RNA, internal transcribed spacer 2, and large subunit ribosomal RNA". The stretch from base 1 to 120 matches the Rfam family "5.8S ribosomal RNA", at positions 35 to 154 of the family's 154-position model. The record is from RNAcentral.